RNA transcript from Echinops telfairi (small Madagascar hedgehog), 2593 nucleotides. It is a transcript of the gene named RCC1 and BTB domain containing protein 1, with no coding region annotated. The transcript has 12 exons. NCBI's taxonomy places the organism in Eukaryota, Metazoa, Chordata, Mammalia, Afrosoricida, Tenrecidae. The record is from RefSeq and is a predicted model, not a curated record.
AUUAAAAGCCUUAGUUACGGGAGCGCACCACAUGUUCUGCUCAGCACUGAAGGAACAGAAAGAAGUUGAAAGGGACAAGACUAGGGUUGUAAAGUAGAUGAGAUGGAGUUGUUUAUGCUUGGGGCCACAAUGGAUAUAGCCAGCUUGGAAACGGGACUACUAACCAGGGCAUUGCUCCCAUCCAAGUCUGUACCAAUCUCCUGAUCAAGCAAGUGGUUGAAGUAGCUUGUGGCUCACAUCAUUCCAUGGCUUUGGCAGCUGAUGGAGAGGUAUUUGCUUGGGGUUAUAACAACUGUGGCCAGGUGGGAUCAGGAUCCACUGCAAAUCAACCAACUCCUCGAAAAGUUAAAAACUGUUUACAUAUUAAGAAGGUGGUUGGCAUUGCCUGUGGUCAGACCUCAUCCAUGGCUGUUCUGGACAAUGGAGAGGUAUAUGGAUGGGGUUACAAUGGCAAUGGUCAGCUGGGCCUGGGAAACAAUGGCAAUCAGCUGACCCCGGUGAGAGUGGCAGCUUUACACAGUGUGUGUGUGAACCAGAUCGUCUGCGGCUAUGCACACACUCUAGCACUCACAGAUGAGGGCUUACUCUAUGCCUGGGGAGCUAACACCUAUGGGCAGCUGGGAACUGGCAAUAAGAAUAACCUGCUAAGCCCCGCCCACAUCAUGGUGGAGAAAGAAAGGGUCGUAGAGAUUGCAGCCUGUCACUCUGCCCACACCUCUGCUGCCAAGACGCAGAGUGGGCAUGUGUACAUGUGGGGCCAGUGUCGUGGCCAGUCGGUCACUCUGCCUCACCUCACCCACUUCUCCUGCACGGACGACGUCUUUGCCUGUUUUGCCACCCCUGCUGUCUCAUGGCGCCUUCUAUCUGUUGAGCACGAAGACUUCUUAACUGUUACAGAGUCACUGAAGCAAGCAUUUGAUAGUCCAGAAACUGCUGAUCUGAAAUUUCAAAUUGAUGGGAAAUAUAUUCAUGUCCAUAAAGCUAUUUUAAAAAUCAGGUGUGAGCACUUUCGAUCCAUGUUCCACUCGUACUGGAAUGAGGACUCCGAGGAGGUGCUAGAAAUAGACCAGUUUUCUUACCCCGUGUAUCGUGCCUUCCUCCAAUACUUGUACACGGAUACAGUGGAUCUGCCCCCUGAAGAUGCUAUAGGUCUUUUGGAUUUGGCGACAUCGUAUUGUGAAAACAGGCUGAAAAAACUUUGCCAGCACAUUAUCAAGCGAGGAAUUACCGUGGAGAACGCCUUUUCAUUAUUCUCCGCUGCAGUCAGAUACGAUGCACAGGAUUUAGAAGAAUUCUGCUUUAAAUUUUGCAUCAAUCACUUGACCGGAGUUACACAGACUGCAGCAUUUUGGCAAAUGGAUGGCCCGCUGCUAAAGGAGUUCAUUGCUAAAGCCAGUAAAUGUGGAGCCUUUAAGAACUGAAGCUGAAGGCUGUGCGUUCUGUGUGUAUGCUCUGGGGCACUGUGGGUGGCAUGUCCCAUUUGUGCCCCAUGGGUGAUGUAAUUCUGCAGGUCACAUUCCAUCACAGAUUUGCAUAUUUGAAAGCUCACUAGCUUCCACUUUUGACUUCGCUAUGAUACUUCGUAUACUUGAACCCUGAACUGGAUCAAAAUUCUGGUUUUCCUGAAAAGAUCUUAUGCAAAAGGAAUUGGCUCUGUCAUUUGGAGGAUGGUCAUGACACGUGAUUUUAACGGUGUUCCACUCGGAGUUUUAUCAUGUAUCCAGUUGAGCUUGCUGUAAGGACAAAGCUGUUCUCUGGUCCAUGAACUCAUUUCCAUUUGCAAAAGCGCCUUAGCAACUCAUUUUCUGAAUGUAUUUUCAUGUCUAUUAAUUAGCAAGAAGAUGAGGAGAUGCUACAGUGACUACUAUCAACAAUGCUGGGGGUAGUGACUCAGCAAUUAAAAAUUUGUUGAUUGACAAAAUCUAAACAAAACCUCGAAGCCCCCUUUUCAUGGCCACAUUGCAAGUGAUUGAAGUCCAAUUAGUUAGUCGGUUAAAAUUCAUUCUGCAACCUGUGAUAGUCUUUUUCUUUGUAGGUUGAUAAAUGCACAUUAAUGUAUUCACUAUGUAACAACCACUGUUCUGUUGGCUUAUGAGAUAAACAAAAUGAGAACUUCAAUGUUUACUGUUGUUCUUCCUUGAAAAAAAAACUAUUUAAAAUAAAGAACAAAUUAAAGUAGUGGAUCCAUUUACAUAAUCCAUUCAUUCAGAAAAUUAUUUCUGAGUUUUUAAUGCGGGUUAAGAACCACUUCUUGAAUUACCAAGUAAUUUGUAUGAAUAUGAAUAAUAGUGAAAAUAACAGGAGUAAAUCCUUCAAAAAGUCCUUAGAUAGCAUAUUUUUUAAAUGUAUACUCAUGUUUUGUCUUGUUUUUUAACUUGGUGUUGUUAAUCACGACAAUAACGGAAAAUCCUUCUCUUGAAUUGCUUUUUUCAUCUGAUAUAAUAAUGGAAGCCAAAGUAUUCACAUUUUUAAAACAGCCCUAACUUAAAUGUAGUUUUGAACUUCUUAUCGGAACAUUUUAUACUGUAUUAUGAAGAUUGUAUUUAUGUAAUGCUUAGAAUGAUAUAUCAAUAAAGUAACCUAUUGAAACAGA